AGAGCGAACGCUGGCGGCAGGCCUAACACAUGCAAGUCGAGCGGCCGUAGCAAUACGGCAGCGGCAGACGGGAGAGUAACACGUGGGAACGUACCCUUCGGUUCGGAAUAACUCAGGGAAACUUGAGCUAAUACCGGAUAUGUCCGUAAGGAGAAAGAUUUAUCGCCGAGGGAUCGGCCCGCGUCCGAUUAGCUAGUUGGUGGGGUAAUGGCCCACCAAGGCGACGAUCGGUAGCUGGUCUGAGAGGAUGAUCAGCCUCACUGGGACUGAGACACGGCCCAGACUCCUACGGGAGGCAGCAGUGGGGAAUAUUGGACAAUGGGCGCAAGCCUGAUCCAGCCAUGCCGCGUGGGUGAUGAAGGCCCUAGGGUUGUAAAGCUCUUUUGUGCGGGAAGAUAAUGACGGUACCGCAAGAAUAAGCCCCGGCUAACUUCGCGCCAGCAGCCGC
Molecule: ribosomal RNA, 448 nt
Filed under: uncultured bacterium
Lineage: Bacteria
Description: SSU rRNA
Rfam family: Bacterial small subunit ribosomal RNA
Source: RNAcentral